Molecule: non-coding RNA, 69 nt
Filed under: Bifidobacterium pseudocatenulatum
Lineage: Bacteria; Bacillati; Actinomycetota; Actinomycetes; Bifidobacteriales; Bifidobacteriaceae
Also listed under: 1 other name
Description: Transposase-2 RNA
Rfam family: Transposase-2 RNA
Source: RNAcentral
GAAGCGCGAACCAAGACGUCGCGCAAGCGACGUAAGGCUUGGAGCUGGUGUCCGCAAGAACGACAUGCA